AACGAACGCUGGCGGCAUGCCUAACACAUGCAAGUCGAACGAGACCUUCGGGUCUAGUGGCGCACGGGUGCGUAACGCGUGGGAACCUGCCCUUAGGUUCGGAAUAACUCCCCGAAAGGGGUGCUAAUACCGGAUAAUGUCUUCGGACCAAAGAUUUAUCGACUUUGGAUGGGCCCGCGUUGGAUUAGCUAGUUGGUAGGGUAAAAGCCUACCAAGGCGACGAUCCAUAGCUGGUCUGAGAGGAUGAUCAGCCACACUGGGACUGGGACACGGCCCAGACUCCUACGGGAGGCAGCAGUGGGGAAUAUUGGACAAUGGGCGAAAGCCUGAUCCAGCAAUGCCGCGUGAGUGAUGAAGGCCUUAGGGUUGUAAAGCUCUUUUACCCGGGAUGAUAAUGACAGUACCGGGAGAAUAAGCUCCGGCUAACUCCGUG
RNAcentral lists this ribosomal RNA (433 nucleotides) under uncultured bacterium. RNAcentral's name for it is "partial 16S ribosomal RNA". It matches the Rfam family "Bacterial small subunit ribosomal RNA", at positions 29 to 507 of the family's 1533-position model. The record is from RNAcentral.